RNAcentral lists this long non-coding RNA (1980 nucleotides) under Triticum aestivum (bread wheat). RNAcentral describes it as "long non-coding RNA (TAES_LNC011377)". Lineage: Eukaryota; Viridiplantae; Streptophyta; Magnoliopsida; Poales; Poaceae. The record is from RNAcentral.
UAUCAUUUGCUUUGCUUAAUGUUUCUUAGUUUAACUUACUAAUCUCUUGUCUGUGUAUUUUUUGCUGCCACAGGGGAUCCAAAUAGGUUGCAACUAGGAGUAAAAUAUGUGUCUAAACUGAUCGGCUGGUGCGAAAAUCGACGACCAAGAUCCAGUUAUGUGUAUUGCAGGACAACACCUUUCAUUAGAUACACUUUGAUGCUAUUUCUAGCAUGAAUUUCUAUUUCAGACUUAAAACUAAAAUUCUGAACAACUAAAAUCGCUCUUGUUCCUUAUUUUUGUAGGGCGGUUCCUCUCGUUUUACUGGUUCGUCCGCUCCUUCAUGAUUGAUGUACUGGUUCUGGCCGCUCCUUCGUGAUAGACUCGGUUAACUCUUUGUUAGCCUUGUGGGUCGUAAUUCUUUCUCUCCAGACGCAUAUACUGCCUGAUGUAUUGCUCAUGCUCAUUCUGUACCAAGAUAGACCUAAUAUCCGUAGGGUUGUAGAUUGAUUUCCCCUGAAAAUGCUAUGCUUCUUUCCUUGGAUGAUAAGCAUGUUCCGCAGCUAUGUGGAAUUCUUAAGAUAAACGGUCUUUAGUUUCUUUUGGUGCAUCUGCGUGCACAUAACAGUCUGUUAGUUUCUCAGUCUGUUAGUUUCUCUUUAUAUAAUGAAAAAAAUAUGUUGUUGUCUCUUGUUUAUUAUUAUCUAUCAUUUGUAGAUUGAUUUUUAGGCCACCAGUACUUGUAUGUAUAAUUUCUAGUCUCUUGAAUGAAUAAUUUUUCUUUAUGUCUCAUGCGUCUUGUGCUACUACUUACUACAUACAUCUGUCGUGAAGUACAUGGUUCCGGAACUAUGGUAACCCGUAGUUUGCUCUACCCGUGAUAGUAGGAUGAUGGAAGCAUCACUACUGAAUGUAGUUCAUGUUUCUUCAUAUAAUCAUCAUUUACUAGAGUUUCUCUUCUUCCCGCUACUACUUGGUUUUUGAUGCCACUAGCUUGUACUGAAAUGUAAACACAUCAUAUUGUUUUCAUCAGACCAGUGUACCUUGAGCAUGCAAAGUAAACACAUGCUACUCCACUUAUCUAUUUGUACAUAAACUUUUGUUUAAAUAAACCAAGCUAAUAAACCAAACGGUCGAACACAUUCAGUUCUGAAAUUUGUCUACUCCACUUGUUUGAUUGUACUAAAACCUUUGUUUGCAUUUUUCUAAAAUAUAGAGAAGAACACCCUGUGUUCUGGUAAAAUAUUUGUUUGCUAUGAUAUGAAAUUCCAUGAUGUGUGUGUUGUUUCAGUUUCUGUAGCUACAACAAAGUCCUAGUUUACUCUGUACUUGCUUUUGAUGAUUGCUGGCUAAAUUUACAGUUGAAAUAAUAGUAGCCAAGGAGUAGAUACAAGACGUAUUUAUCGUAUUUUGCAUGGAAUGUUAAAAAUCAGUUUUGUUGUGGUUUCUUGUUCUGUGAGUCAAAUUGCAUAAGAUGGGAGUAUCACAACAUGCAUAUACUGAAGAUGGGAGUAUCACAACCUGAAUGUGCAACUUAUGUAGUUUCUGUAUUUUUGUUAAAGCAUGGAGUAGCUUCUAUAGUUUUUGUAUUUUUUUAAAGCAUGGAGUAGCUUCUAUAGUUUCAGUAUUUCUGUAUUUUCGUUAAAGCAUGGAGUAGCUUCUAUAGCUUCCUCACAAGUUAAUGCUUCGCUCGUCCGGGUGUGUGAUAAUGCCAUUUGUCUUGUGCAAUCAGAUUACAUUUCUGUUUGUUAUGGUAAUAUAAAAAAUAUUCGUGCUGUCAAAAUUUUCACAGUGUGUGUCUUUCAUUUCUUUAAUUUGAUUGUUUCCCUUGUAUUCAAUAUGCUUCUAGUGGCUGAUCCUUCCAUUUUUGUUGUGGCAUCUUUAUUUUCACAGGUGUUGUGUGUUCUGGAAGAUGGAAGAGGAAGAAAUUGUUGAACUAAAUUUUUUGUAUUCUGUUUUGUUGUACGUAUCAUUUGAUAGUUUUGUAUAGGAACAAGUGAU